Molecule: long non-coding RNA, 1449 nt
Organism: Phragmites australis (common reed)
Lineage: Eukaryota; Viridiplantae; Streptophyta; Magnoliopsida; Poales; Poaceae
Exons: 3
Source: RefSeq, a predicted model, not a curated record
CAGAUAUCUUUCUUCACAACCGAGCUGCCCUCUCUUCUUGCUCGGACUCUCGCUCAUCUGAGCUCCUCUGGAGCAGCAGCAGCAUUCCGGCUCCUACUCUCUCUCUCACCGUUCCCUCAGCCAAACGAGCAGUAAGUCGAGCUCACCGCUGCCUUGCUCAGCCUCUCUACCAUUGAGCUACUGCAUGGAGCACCCCCUGGAGCACCCCCUGGAGCCCCUCCAUCGUCACAUAAGCCCCCUGUUAGCUCCCUUGCCCGCGAGCUCACGCGCGCUCGCGCGGCCUGUUUCAGUUCCGGCCGAAGGAUAAUGCACACCGCCGCCAUGAUUCUUUCUCCUCCGGUGAGCCCACGUCAAUUCCUCCCGGUCAUGACUUCUUCAAUGCCUUGUGCCCCUCCUUGACUGAUCCUUGCCGCGAAUCCGUAGCUGCGCGCCGCCAUGGCCGUUUUUGCCUCCGCCGGUCACCAUUGCCGCCACCGAAGCACCUCACCGGCGAUCCACCACUCCACAUCUUCUCCAAGCCAAUUUGCACCAUGGAGAGCUCCACCGUGACCGCCUGGACGUAGAGCGCGCACCCCCUUGGCACCGGCCCGUCGCCGGCAUGAUGCUCACCGAGAACCACGCGUCGUCGUGCCACCUUCCCCGCCGCUGGCUGUGCCCCGGCCGAGCCCGUCGGUCAGUACCUACCUGUGGUUGUUCCUCAUCGUGAGGCGUAGCUGAGGGUGCUCUCAGUUGGCCGAGCCGCUGUCUUUUUCCACCGUCGCCGGCGUGCAACCGCCGCCGCCUGCAGCUAAACUUCGGAACCUCGGCGCCGCAACCAGUCGCAUGACUUCACGCCGCUUGCUGCCGUCGCCAUUGCCGCCGUCGAGCUUGCUCCGGCCACCUCCGAGCCGUGCGUGUCACUUCGCGAGGAUCCCCAUGGCGCACUGAACAUCUUGGUACCCUCCGCUGGCCGAGCCGUCGCCGGAACCGCCGCCGGCGUUGCCUCCAGCAAGCCUCACGAAAUAUUUUAUGUCCAUUGCUGUGGAUUUUUUUGGAUGGAUUUAUUUGCAUCUUUCGGUGUUUAUCGAUCAAAUAUUUGGCGUGUAUAUAAGUGCGAUCAACGAUGAACGAUAGAGAUCAGAAAUAUCACAAAGAAAUAAUGCCAGGAAAUCAUGGAAGCGAUGAUAUCGGGUCUUUCUAGGAUUCAACUCCCAGUCGGUUGCCUGUGGGCGGGUUUGAGGCACACCCGCUGGAUAUUUGAAUCUAUUUCAUUGUAUUUUUCCGCUGCAUAUCUUCUAUAUUGUAGACCGGUUGGUCAUAUUGUUGUAAAUUUAAUCCAAUUAAACAUUUUCACCUUGUAAAAUGUAUGGAUAUGAUAUCACUGUUGUAACCGUGUGUACUUGCUACUGAUCAUGGGACAAGUACAGUGGAAACACGGAGUUUCGGGUAAUCUAAUUACCCGGGGCGUCA